AUGAACGCUGGCGGCGUGCCUAACACAUGCAAGUCGAACGAAGCACCUUACCUGAUUCUUCGGAUGAAAGUUUGGUGACUGAGUGGCGGACGGGUGAGUAACGCGUGGGUAACCUGCCCUGUACAGGGGGAUAACAGCUGGAAACGGCUGCUAAUACCGCAUAAGCGCACGAGGAGACAUCUCCUUGUGUGAAAAACUCCGGUGGUACAGGAUGGGCCCGCGUCUGAUUAGCUGGUUGGCAGGGUAACGGCCUACCAAGGCAACGAUCAGUAGCCGGUCUGAGAGGAUGAACGGCCACAUUGGAACUGAGACACGGUCCAAACUCCUACGGGAGGCAGCAGCGGGGAAUAUUGCACAAUGGGGGAAACCCUGAUGCAGCAACGCCGCGUGAGUGAAGAAGUAUUUCGGUAUGUAAAGCUCUAUCAGCAGGGAAGAUAAUGACGGUACCUGACUAAGAAGCUCCGGCUAAAUACGUG
Molecule: ribosomal RNA, 476 nt
Filed under: uncultured bacterium
Lineage: Bacteria
Description: partial 16S ribosomal RNA
Rfam family: Bacterial small subunit ribosomal RNA
Source: RNAcentral